CACUCCUGCGGGAGGCAGCAGUGGGGAAUAUUGGACAAUGGGCGCAAGCCUGAUCCAGCCAUGCCGCGUGAGUGAUGAAGGCCCUAGGGUUGUAAAGCUCUUUCACCGGUGAAGAUAAUGACGGUAACCGGAGAAGAAGCCCCGGCUAACUUCGUGCCAGCAGCCGCGGUAAUACGAAGGGGGCUAGCGUUGUUCGGAUUUACUGGGCGUAAAGCGCACGUAGGCGGACUAUUAAGUCAGGGGUGAAAUCCCGGGGCUCAACCCCGGAACUGCCUUUGAUACUGGUAGUCUUGAGUUCGAGAGAGGUGAGUGGAAUUCCGAGUGUAGAGGUGAAAUUCGUAGAUAUUCGGAGGAACACCAGUGGCGAAGGCGGCUCACUGGCUCGAUACUGACGCUGAGGUGCGAAAGCGUGGGGAGCAAACAGGAUUAGAUACCCGAGUAGUCCCAU
Molecule: ribosomal RNA, 448 nt
Filed under: uncultured organism
Description: partial 16S ribosomal RNA
Rfam family: Bacterial small subunit ribosomal RNA
Source: RNAcentral